RNAcentral lists this long non-coding RNA (759 nucleotides) under Homo sapiens (human). Its description in RNAcentral is "HSALNT0077927". The record is from RNAcentral. Lineage: Eukaryota; Metazoa; Chordata; Mammalia; Primates; Hominidae.
UGAAUGCAAUGGUGUGAACACAGCUCAUUUCAGCAGCGUUGACCUCCUGGACUCAAGAUAUCCUCCUCCAUCAGCCUCCCUAAGUAACCAAGACUACAGGGAGAACCUGCAAUGAGAGAAAAUUUGAUGACUGAGCAAGAUGCAGGAAAGAUUUGAAGUGUGACAGGGAGGGACUCUUGAUUUGGUACACUGGCUUUGAAGAUGAAGGAAGGAUCCAUGAGCCGAGCCAAGGCAUGUAGGUGGUAUCUAGAAGCCAGCAAUAACUCUCACCUGACAGCCACCCAUGACAUAGAGACCUCGAGUCCCACAACUUCAAGGAACUGAAAUCUGCCAAUAUCCUAAAGAAGCAGGGAAAUUUAUUUUCCCCUAGAUCCCUAGAGAAGAAUACAGCCUUGUAAAUAUCCUGAUUUUUGUCUGCAAGACUCACACUGGGCUGCUGAUGUACAGAACUGUAGAUAAUAAAUUUUUGUUUUAUAUGCUGCUAAUUUAUGGCAAUCUGUUAAUGAAAGUAAUCUAAAACUAGCAUAUAUGUUAAGGGGGUAGACUUUGUUAAAAUUAGACAACUGGAGACUUUGAAGUUUUUAGAAUGUUAAAAUAGUAAAAUCAGAGCUCUUUUUAGAAAAUGUGAAACAUUUUUAUUUUCUUAAACAGCAUACAUUCCACUGAUCUGCCUUCCUAAACAAACCCUUUAAUUCAUGUGUCUCCUUCCCCCAUUGCAGUCCAUAAACUGUCAUGUCAGGGUCAUCUCCAUAACUCAAG